AACGAACGCUGGCGGCGUGCUUAACACAUGCAAGUCGAGCGGAAGUUCCUCGGAGCGAGUACAGCGGCAGACGGGUGAGUACAACGUAGGUAACCUACCCUCGAGACCGGGAUAACCUGUCGAAAGACGGCUAAGUACCGGAUAAGACCACAAGGGCUGCGGCCUUUGAGGUAAAAGAUGCCUCUGCUUGCAAGCUAUCACGUUGGGGAUGGGCCUGCGCGCCAUUAGC
RNAcentral lists this ribosomal RNA (229 nucleotides) under uncultured bacterium. RNAcentral's name for it is "partial 16S ribosomal RNA". It matches the Rfam family "Bacterial small subunit ribosomal RNA", at positions 29 to 245 of the family's 1533-position model. The record is from RNAcentral.